CCUACGGGAGGCAGCAGUGAGGAAUAUUGGUCAAUGGGCGCUAGCCUGAACCAGCCAAGUAGCGUGAAGGAUGACUGCCCUCUGGGUUGUAAACUUCUUUUAUAUGGGAGUAAAGUGCAGUAUGUAUACUGCUUUGCAUGUACCUUAUGGAUAAGGAUCGGCUAACUCCGUGCCAGCAGCCGCGGUAAUACGGAGGAUCCGAGCGUUAUCCGGAUUUAGUGGGUUUAAAGGGAGCGUAGGCGGGUUGUUAAGUCAGUUGUGAAAGUUUGCGGCUCAACCGUAAGAUUGCAGUUGAUACUGGCAUCCUUGAGUACAGUAGAGGUAGGCGGAAUUCGUGGUGUAGCGGUGAAAUGCGUAGAUAUCACGAAGAACUCCGAUUGCGAAGGCAGCCUGCUGGACUGUAACUGACGCUGAUGCUCGAAAGUGUGGGGAUCAAACAGGAUUAGAUACCCGUGUAGUC
This 460-nucleotide ribosomal RNA is filed under the name uncultured bacterium. Its description in RNAcentral is "partial 16S ribosomal RNA". It matches the Rfam family "Bacterial small subunit ribosomal RNA", at positions 338 to 795 of the family's 1533-position model. The record is from RNAcentral.